UGCAGGAGAUAGACAGAUUUCGAUGGUGGGGUUAGGAGAGGUCUUCAUGCUGAGUUUGAACUGGAUGGAUGGAGAGUAAAAGAGGAUAAAAAAGGUUUAAUGAUUAUGGCUGGACCCGAUGAAGGGAUGCCUACGUACCCCAAAUGGGGAUCAAGCCAAUCGUAGUUCUACCACGAUGGGAUCACAAGUGCCUAGAUGAAAGCAUGUGGAGAGGUGUUUCUCUCUACAGAAGUAGAGAGAGAUGGGAGAAAUG
This 253-nucleotide long non-coding RNA is filed under the name Brassica napus (rape). RNAcentral's name for it is "long non-coding RNA (BNAP_LNC007218)". Lineage: Eukaryota; Viridiplantae; Streptophyta; Magnoliopsida; Brassicales; Brassicaceae. The record is from RNAcentral.